Molecule: unclassified non-coding RNA, 350 nt
Filed under: Hevea brasiliensis (rubber tree)
Lineage: Eukaryota; Viridiplantae; Streptophyta; Magnoliopsida; Malpighiales; Euphorbiaceae
Source: RNAcentral
AAAUUUUCGGGGUGUUACAAAUAUGCUCUUACAAAAUUUACUCUUUGUUCUCUAAAAAUACAUAUCAUGAAAAGGAAAAGGUUAUUUACAAGGGAAUAAGUUACCAAUAACCUUUUACUCGUAUGUUAAAAAAGGAGGGAGGGGGGACAUUUUAUACACACAUGGUUAACAAUAUACAGAUGCAAUCUCUACAAUAAUAAAAUUGCAAAGAUGUAUCCUUUCCCCCAGUUCCGAAAGAAUCAGAUUACACUUUUUUAGGACUGAAUCUAUUAUCUCAGGAGUCAGGCCAUCGUCGUUUCUCACAAAAUUUACUAGCUGCUCCCGCCCGUGAUGAAAACCUUAUUUUGGUU